GGGUUGCUAACUCAACGGUAGAGUACUCGGCUUUUAUCCGACUAGUUCUGGGUUCGAGUCCCGGGCAACCCA
This 72-nucleotide transfer RNA is filed under the name Chrysosplenium nudicaule. RNAcentral's name for it is "tRNA-Lys". It matches the Rfam family "tRNA". From Rfam's summary of the family: Transfer RNA (tRNA) molecules are approximately 80 nucleotides in length. Their secondary structure includes four short double-helical elements and three loops (D, anti-codon, and T loops). The record is from RNAcentral. Lineage: Eukaryota; Viridiplantae; Streptophyta; Magnoliopsida; Saxifragales; Saxifragaceae.